RNAcentral lists this long non-coding RNA (387 nucleotides) under Nicotiana benthamiana. RNAcentral's name for it is "long non-coding RNA (NBEN_LNC010698)". The record is from RNAcentral. Lineage: Eukaryota; Viridiplantae; Streptophyta; Magnoliopsida; Solanales; Solanaceae.
AAAAGCUCAUCAACCUGUCCGAGGGAUGAUGAAGGCGAUGCCACAAUUGAGGGAACCGCCCUCUUACUCUUUUUUAGAUAAGAAUGCGAAAGACCCUGACCCUGCCAACCAAGCCCACUCAGAUAGACUAAGUAGACUAAAAAAAGUGCACAAGAAAGACUAAGGAAACAAAACCUUUUCUCGAUAACGCUGGGCCAAGUAGCGACACUUCACCCAGAUUCGAUCAUCACGUCAACUUGCUUUAUUCAACAAAGUGAUCAAGCUUCUUAGCCACCGGGGACCGGCCUCGUGAACGCAUUCGCUAAGGGCACUACUGGCCGGCUUUCUCAAUCUUCAAUCUAACUUCAGAAAUUGAAUAAGCCCACUUGACGAGAUUAGAUCUAAUUC